UACGGGGGGAGCAAGCGUUGUUCGGAUUUACUGGGCGUAAAGGGCGCGUAGGCGGCCACCGCAAGUCGACUGUGAAAUCUCCGGGCUUAACCCGGAAAGGUCAGCCGAUACUGCGGGGCUAGAGUGCAGAAGGGGCAACUGGAAUUCUCGGUGUAGCGGUGAAAUGCGUAGAUAUCGAGAGGAACACCUGCGGCGAAGGCGGGUUGCUGGGCUGACACUGACGCUGAUGCGCGAAAGCCAGGGGAGCAAACGGG
This 254-nucleotide ribosomal RNA is filed under the name uncultured bacterium. RNAcentral describes it as "partial 16S ribosomal RNA". It matches the Rfam family "Bacterial small subunit ribosomal RNA", at positions 524 to 776 of the family's 1533-position model. The record is from RNAcentral.